RNAcentral lists this non-coding RNA (115 nucleotides) under Lutispora thermophila. RNAcentral describes it as "FMN sequence". It matches the Rfam family "FMN riboswitch aptamer (RFN element)". Rfam says of the family: The RFN element is a highly conserved domain that is found frequently in the 5'-untranslated regions of prokaryotic mRNAs that encode for flavin mononucleotide (FMN) biosynthesis and transport proteins. This element is a metabolite-dependent riboswitch that directly binds FMN in the absence of proteins. In Bacillus subtilis, the riboswitch most likely controls gene expression by causing premature transcription termination within the 5' untranslated region of the ribDEAHT operon and precluding access to the ribosome-binding site of ypaA mRNA. Lineage: Bacteria; Bacillati; Bacillota; Clostridia; Lutisporales; Lutisporaceae. RNAcentral also lists the same sequence under 1 other name. The record is from RNAcentral.
UAUAAUCUUCAGGGACGGGUGCAAUUCCCUACCGGCGGUAUAGCCCGCGAGCCGAAAGGCAGAUCCGGUUAGAUUCCGGAGCCGACAGUUAAAGUCUGGAUGGAAGAAGAUUUAU